This 647-nucleotide ribosomal RNA is filed under the name Calonarius cf. meinhardii TN05-168. Its description in RNAcentral is "eukaryotic LSU rRNA". The stretch from base 262 to 415 matches the Rfam family "5.8S ribosomal RNA". Lineage: Eukaryota; Fungi; Basidiomycota; Agaricomycetes; Agaricales; Cortinariaceae. The record is from RNAcentral.
AACCUGCGGAAGGAUCAUUAUUGAAAUAAACCUGAUGAGUUGUUGCUGGUUCUCUAGGGAGCAUGUGCACACUUGUCAUCUUUGUAUCUCCACCUGUGCACCUUUUGUAGACCUUGGGUAUCUCUCUGAUUGCUUUUAGCAUUCAGGAUUGAGGAUUGACUUUUUGUCUCUUCUUACAUUUCCAGGUCUAUGUUUCUUCAUAUACCCUAAUGUAUGUUUACAGAAUGUAAUCAAUGGGCCUUUGUGCCUAUAAAUCUAUACAACUUUCAGCAACGGAUCUCUUGGCUCUCGCAUCGAUGAAGAACGCAGCGAAAUGCGAUAAGUAAUGUGAAUUGCAGAAUUCAGUGAAUCAUCGAAUCUUUGAACGCACCUUGCGCUCCUUGGUAUUCCGAGGAGCAUGCCUGUUUGAGUGUCAUUAAUAUAUCAACCUCUUAGGUUGGAUGUGGAGUUUGCUGGCCUCUUGAGGUCAGCUCCUCUUAAAUGCAUUAGCGGACAACAUUUUGCCAAACGUUUAUUGGUGUGAUAAUUAUCUACGCUAUUGACGUGAAGCAGGUUCAGCUUCUAACAGUCCAUUGACUUGGACAAAUUUUUAUUUAUUAAUGUGACCUCAAAUCAGGUAGGAUUACCCGCUGAACUUAAGCAUAUCA